CCUACGGGAGGCAGCAGUGAGGAAUAUUGGUCAAUGGACGAGAGUCUGAACCAGCCAAGUCGCGUGAAGGAUGACUGCCCUCGGGGUUGUAAACUUCUUUUAUAUGGGAAUAAAAUGUUCCACGUGUGGGAUUUUGUAUGUACCAUAUGAGUAAGGGUCGGCGAGCUCCGUGCCAGCAGCCGCGGUAAUACGGAGGAUCCGAGCGUUAUCCGGAUUUAUUGGGUGUAAAGGGAGCGUAGGUGGAUUGUUAAGGCAGUUGUGAAAGUUUGCGGCUCAACCGUAAAAUUGCAGUUGAAACUGGCAGUCUUGAGUGCAGGAGAGGUGGGCGGAAUUCGUGGUGUAGCGGUGAAAUGCUUAGAUAGCACGAAGAACACCGAUGGCGAAGGCAGUUCACUGGACUGCAACUGACGCUGAGGCUCGAAAGUGUGGGUAGCAAACAGGAUUAGAUACCCGUGUAGUC
RNAcentral lists this ribosomal RNA (460 nucleotides) under uncultured bacterium. Its description in RNAcentral is "partial 16S ribosomal RNA". It matches the Rfam family "Bacterial small subunit ribosomal RNA", at positions 338 to 795 of the family's 1533-position model. The record is from RNAcentral.